Molecule: ribosomal RNA, 618 nt
Filed under: uncultured Alphaproteobacteria bacterium
Lineage: Bacteria; Pseudomonadati; Pseudomonadota; Alphaproteobacteria
Description: bacterial SSU rRNA
Rfam family: Bacterial small subunit ribosomal RNA
Source: RNAcentral
AACGAACGCUGGCGGCAGGCCUAAUACAUGCAAGUCGAGCGCGCCCUUCGGGGUGAGCGGCGGACGGGUGAGUAACGCGUGGGAAUAUGCCCUUCUCUAAGGAAUAGCCUCUGGAAACGGAGAGUAAUACCUUAUACGCCCUUUGGGGGAAAGAUUUAUCGGAGAAGGAUUAGCCCGCGUUAGAUUAGGUAGUUGGUGGGGUAAUGGCCUACCAAGCCUACGAUCUAUAGCUGGUUUAAGAGGAUGAUCAGCCACACUGGGACUGAGACACGGCCCAGACUCCUACGGGAGGCAGCAGUAGGGAAUCUUAGACAAUGGGGGCAACCCUGAUCUAGCCAUGCCGCGUGUGUGAUGAAGGCCCUAGGGUCGUAAAGCACUUUCGCCAGAGAUGAUAAUGACAGUAUCUGGUAAAGAAACCCCGGCUAACUCCGUGCCAGCAGCCGCGGUAAUACGGAGGGGGUUAGCGUUGUUCGGAAUUACUGGGCGUAAAGCGCACGUAGGCGGAUUAGUAAGUUAGAGGUGAAAUCCCAGGGCUCAACCCUGGAACUGCCUUUAAUACUGCUAGUCUUGAGUUCGAGAGAGGUAAGUGGAAUUCCGAGUGUAGAGGUGAAAUUCGUA